AUCAUUGAAGAGAUUGGCUAAACAUUGAAUACCUAUGGAAGCAUGUAUUGGAGAAGCAAGAAAAUGAUGGCCAGCCUUCCUGGAAAACAAGUACCGCGUGAGGUUUUUGAAAGCUGUGUUUGCAAACAUACCACUGUGCUGGAUUAAGAGACUGACUUUGAGAUGGACGAAAGAGCUCUGGGCUGCCAACUUUCUACAGGUGGCAAGUAGGACCUAACUUGGGACCAUCCACUAAUAAGGCUGAUACCAACAUCAACGUGUGCUGCCUGAAAAAAAGAGCAUCCUGCAGAAUCAGACGAGGGAUGAGAGGCCACUGGGGAAUAAGAAUGCAGAUUACAAAACAUUCUACAAAAGUAGAAUCUUCUAGUGUUCGGAAGAGAUUUUCUUGUUGAAGUUUUCCUUACUAGACCGUAAAUUGAGUAGCUUCAGACCUUAAGCACAUCAUGGAGGGGUGAAACCACUCCCACCACCCCAGCGAUUUAUGUUUUUAUGUGGCUCAUUAUUAACAAACCUUUUUAUACAUGGAAGAAAUGUGAAAGCUCCUUGGGGGUUUGAACAAACUGUCCAUAAGAUGGGCCAUUCGGAAGCCCAUGGUCAGUCACACCAUGAUGAAAGCCCUUGAGUCCUUAAGUCACUGCCUCCUUUGGGUAGCAGAGACCAAAAGGCCACAGACCCAGAGCAGCUCCAGUGUCUCCCUAUCUGUCUAGACUGCUAUGUAGGUGCUGUCACACAGGCAAGCAGAUCACAAGAAUGUGUUGUUUAUGAGGAUUACUUCCUCAAGGAGUGCUGUGGAGAUACUAAAGCGGUAUAAAGAAGAAAAGGAAAAACUAAUAAGGAAAGGAGAUUAAAUCUUCUACCUCCAGCUAGCAAUAGUCAAUUUUCUCACUUUAGAAAACUUCAUUUCUGAAAGCCCUCAAAACACGCCCACUUCUGAAUUCAUUGGCCAUCUCUUGGGAAAAUAACUCACCUCCUUCAUAUGAUAUGCUGGGACACAGUUGCUUCGGGAGCAGUUUGGAAUCAGAGAAGGAUGGUUAUUCCAUAAAUGCAGGUCUCUUUCAGGAAAUAACGCAGAGUGGUUCAGGUUCAACAGGGGACACUUCUUAGAAAGGUCUCUCUUACAAACUCAUGGUCCU
Mustela erminea (ermine) is the source of this 1133-nucleotide long non-coding RNA. RefSeq lists it as uncharacterized. The transcript has 3 exons. Lineage: Eukaryota; Metazoa; Chordata; Mammalia; Carnivora; Mustelidae. The record is from RefSeq and is a predicted model, not a curated record.